CAGUCGAACGAAGCACUCUAUUUGGUUUUCUUCGGAAAUGAAGAUUUUGUGACUGAGUGGCGGACGGGUGAGUAACGCGUGGGUAACCUGCCUCAUACAGGGGGAUAACAGUUGGAAACGACUGCUAAUACCGCAUAAGCGCACAGGAUCGCAUGGUCCGGUGUGAAAAACUCCGGUGGUAUGGGAUGGACCCGCGUCUGAUUAGCCAGUUGGCAGGGUAACGGCCUACCAAAGCGACGAUCAGUAGCCGACCUGAGAGGGUGACCGGCCACAUUGGGACUGAGACACGGCCCAAACUCCUACGGGAGGCAGCAGUGGGGAAUAUUGCACAAUGGGGGAAACCCUGAUGCAGCGACGCCGCGUGAGCGAAGAAGUAUUUCGGUAUGUAAAGCUCUAUCAGCAGGGAAGAAAGUGACGGUACCUGAAUAAGAAGCCCCGGCUAACUACGUGCCAGCAGCCGCGGUAAUACGUAGGGGGCAAGCGUUAUCCGGAUUUACUGGGUGUAAAGGGAGCGUAGACGGCAAGGCAAGUCUGAAGUGAAAGCCCGGUGCUUAACGCCGGGACUGCUUUGGAAACUGUUUGGCUGGAGUGCCGGAGAGGUAAGCGGAAUUCCUAGUGUAGCGGUGAAAUGCGUAGAUAUUAGGAAGAACACCAGUGGCGAAGGCGGCUUACUGGACGGUAACUGACGUUGAGGCUCGAAAGC
RNAcentral lists this ribosomal RNA (703 nucleotides) under uncultured bacterium. RNAcentral's name for it is "bacterial SSU rRNA". It matches the Rfam family "Bacterial small subunit ribosomal RNA", at positions 59 to 760 of the family's 1533-position model. The record is from RNAcentral.